This 64-nucleotide transfer RNA is filed under the name Krisna rufimarginata. RNAcentral's name for it is "tRNA-Pro". Lineage: Eukaryota; Metazoa; Arthropoda; Insecta; Hemiptera; Cicadellidae. The record is from RNAcentral.
CAGCAUAUAGUUUAAUUUAAAAUUUAAUUUUUGGGAAAUUAUGAUAAUUAUAUAUUUAUGUUGA